CCGGAGCUAACGCGUUAAAUCGACGCUGGGGAGUACGGCCGCAAGGUUAAAACUCAAAUGAAUUGACGGGGGCCCGCACAAGCGGUGGAGCAUGUGGUUUAAUUCGAUGCAACGCGAAGAACCUUACCUGGUCUUGACAUCCAUAGAAUCUUUCAGAGAUGAGAGAGUGCCUUCGGGAGCUAUGAGACAGGUGCUGCAUGGCUGUCGUCAGCUCGUGUUGUGAAAUGUUGGGUUAAGUCCCGCAACGAGCGCAACCCCUAUCCUUUGUUGCCAGCACGUAAUGGUGGGAACUCAAAGGAGACUGCCGUUGAUAAAGCGGAGGAAGGUGGGGACGACGUCAAGUCAUCAUGGCCCUUACGACCAGGGCUACACACGUGCUACAAUGGCGUAUACAAAGGGAUGCGAAGGUGCGAACUGGAGCGGACCUCACAAAGUACGUCUAAGUCCGGAUUGGAGUCUGCAACUCGACUCCAUGAAGUCGGAAUCGCUAGUAAUCGUGAAUCAGAAUGUCACGGUGAAUACGUUCCCGGGCCUUGUACACACCGCCCGUCACACCAUGGGAGUGGGUUGCACCAGAAGUAGAUAGCUUAACCUUCGGGAGGGCGUUUACCACGGUGUGGUUCAUGACUGGGGUGAAGUCGUAACAAGGUAACCA
Molecule: ribosomal RNA, 655 nt
Filed under: uncultured Enterobacteriaceae bacterium
Lineage: Bacteria; Pseudomonadati; Pseudomonadota; Gammaproteobacteria; Enterobacterales; Enterobacteriaceae
Description: bacterial SSU rRNA
Rfam family: Bacterial small subunit ribosomal RNA
Source: RNAcentral